This 230-nucleotide long non-coding RNA is filed under the name Prunus persica (peach). Its description in RNAcentral is "long non-coding RNA (PPER_LNC003272)". Lineage: Eukaryota; Viridiplantae; Streptophyta; Magnoliopsida; Rosales; Rosaceae. The record is from RNAcentral.
AAAAACAAUAAAUAGCCUAAAAAAAAAAGGAAAAAAAACAUUUUUGAACUCUAAGCAACUCAGGAAAUCAAUCAAACUCUAUGUGGAAUUUAUAGAAAUCAAUUGAAAUAUAUUGAACUCUGUAAACUUAAGGGUAAUUUUAUUGGCACCCCCCCAUUUGCUCUUUGCACCCCCACAUUCUCUUUAUAUCCCACUGAAUUUUAGUAAAAUUUAAAAUUACUCACUACAUC